Molecule: transfer RNA, 72 nt
Filed under: Camelus bactrianus (Bactrian camel)
Lineage: Eukaryota; Metazoa; Chordata; Mammalia; Artiodactyla; Camelidae
Also listed under: 1 other name
Rfam family: tRNA
About the family: Transfer RNA (tRNA) molecules are approximately 80 nucleotides in length. Their secondary structure includes four short double-helical elements and three loops (D, anti-codon, and T loops).
Source: Rfam by way of RNAcentral
GAGGGUGUGGCUCAGCGGUAGAGCCCAUGCUUAGCGUGCACAAGGUCCUGCGUUCAAUCCCCAGCACCUCCA